This 906-nucleotide ribosomal RNA is filed under the name Ogataea pini. RNAcentral's name for it is "LSU rRNA". It matches the Rfam family "Eukaryotic large subunit ribosomal RNA", at positions 37 to 965 of the family's 3401-position model. The record is from RNAcentral. Lineage: Eukaryota; Fungi; Ascomycota; Pichiomycetes; Pichiales; Pichiaceae.
AGCAUAUCAAUAAGCGGAGGAAAAAAAACCACCAGGGAUUACCUUAGUAGCGGCGAGUGAAGCGGUAAGAGCUCAAAUUUGAAAUCUGGUACCUUCGGUGCCCCGAGUUGUAAUUUGAAGAAAGCUGUCUUGGAUUUGGCCUUUGUCUAUGUUCCUUGGAACAGGACGUCACAGAGGGUGAGAAUCCCGUGCGAUGAGGUGUCCAUUUCUAUAUAAGACGUUUUCGAAGAGUCGAGUUGUUUGGGAAUGCAGCUCUAAGUGGGUGGUAAAUUCCAUCUAAAGCUAAAUAUUGGCGAGAGACCGAUAGCGAACAAGUACUGUGAAGGAAAGAUGAAAAGAACUUUGAAAAGAGAGUGAAAAAGUACGUGAAAUUGUUGAAAGGGAAGGGUAUUCGAUCAGACUUGGUAUUUAGUUAUCAUUACUCCUUGUGGGUGGUGCUCUAGCUUUUUACUGGGCCAGCAUCAGUUUUGGUGGCAAGAUAAUGGCAGUUGAAUGUGGCUCCUCGGAGUGUUAUAGCUUCUGCUGAUAUUGCCUACUGGGACUGAGGUCUGCGGCUUUUGCCUAGGAUGCUGGCGUAAUGAUCGAAUACCGCCCGUCUUGAAACAUGGACCAAGGAGUCUAACGUCUAUGCGAGUGUUUGGGUGUAAAACCCGUACGCGUAAUGAAAGUGAACGUAGGUCAGGGCCCGUAAGGGUGCAUGAUCGACCGAUCCUGAUGUUUUCAGAUGGAUUUGAGUAAGAGCAUAGCUGUUGGGACCCGAAAGAUGGUGAACUAUGCCUGAAUAGGGUGAAGCCAGAGGAAACUCUGGUGGAGGCUCGUAGCGGUUCUGACGUGCAAAUCGAUCGUCAAAUUUGGGUAUAGGGGCGAAAGACUAAUCGAACCAUCUAGUAGCUGGUUCCUGCCAAU